UUUCUUUGGUAAGUAAUUGAGGCCAUGUGUAUUAGGACACAUCCAACAGAUAGCAAUAUUCAUGUACACACAUAUGCCUUCUUUAUGCUAAACCUCAGUUUGUGCUGUUGUUAUUGUCGAUAAUAACAUCGUUGUUUCGCAGCAUGUAUUGUUCAUGCUCAAUGUAGAUGUCGAUGCUGCAUUGCGUGUUUUUUGCAUCACAUUGAUUGGUUUCAUCCCCAAUAUCCCAAAAUCCUGGAAUGCUGUUUUCUGGCUUUUGGAUUUGAGACCUCCAUGGAUCCGUGUGGCUAUGAUGGCUCUCUUUUGUACAGUUUUAGGGCUUUGAGGCAGUGGUUUCGAGGCCCUAUGCUAGGAACCUUAGUUUGCAAUGGUUAUGCCGCGUCCAAAUCGAGGUUUAUUAUACUUCUGUGAGGUGGGUUGGAUCUCCAAGUUGUGGACACUCGGUGCUGGUAUUAUGUUUGAAGGUGGAGGCUGUGAAGGAGGCAAUUCAAUCAGCGGUGAGAUUGCUGCUGAAGGAUGGGGUUCACAACUGUGACUCAGAUACUCUUACUCUGGCUCUGGUGUUUUGCUAUUAUACUCCGUCGGGUAUGGAGUGAGGGGACUGUGCAUGAAGCGGCUUAGUGUACCAGUUGCAAACAAGUUUUUCGUCCUUGUGUUCACUAGGUGAAUCAACAUACCAAUUAAUUUUUGAAAUCGUUUUGCGUCGACCUACGGGGAGCUUUCUUCUCUAUCCAGAUGACGUCCCUCGACCAUGGGUAUUGAAGAUGGAGCACAUUCCUCCAUUCCGAAUUCUUUCAGGAUUUGCAAUGCGUAGGCCUUUUGGGAUAGGAGGAUGCCAUGCAUUUGGAAUACAAAUUCCACUCCCAGGUAGAAGCUGAUUUUUUUCCAGGUCUGUCAUUUUAAACUUUUGCAUGAGUUGAGUUUUGAUCUGAGAAAUCUUGUUCCUGUCUGAUCCUGUGAGCAAUAGAUUGUCAACAUAUAGUAUGAGCAGUAUAACUUCACCUGAAUCCCAAAGAUAAUAUAGGUUGUAGUCAAAUUCUGUACUUGAGAAUCCGUGGAGAAGAAGGUGUUAAUUUUUUCAAACCACACGCGCGGAGCCUGUUUUAAUCCAAAUAGAGAAUUUUUUAGGCAGCAAACUUUUGUUCCUGUCGUGGAAUCGCAGAAAUUGUCCAGAACUUCCAUGUACAUUGUUUCUUUUAGGUCGCCAUUGAGAAAGGCAGAUCUGACAUCAAGGUCGAGCAAGGGCCAAUUGUAACUUGCUGCUAGUGAGACAGUGAGACGCACGGCUUUCCAUUUUGCAACGGGGGCGAAUACCUCGUCGUAGUCGAUCCCUUUGAUUUGCUGAAAGCCUCGAGCUACAAGACAGGCUUUGAGUUUGCAUGGUAAGCCGUUCGCUUCUUUUUUAAUUUUAUAUACCCACUUGGCAGUUACGAUGAAUGCUCCGGAUAGGAGCUCGCAUAGCUCCCAUGUUUGAUUUUUGAUAAUCGAAACUUGCUCUUGUUUUAUUGUGGCCCGCUAUUUGGAGCUUGAGUUGGCGUUAGUGAAAGUAAUGGGAUUGGCUGGUUCCUCCGUAAUGUCAAAGAAUCACUUGAUAUUUACGGAAUGAGGAUUUUUGAGGGCGCCACAGAGUAGGUGACACUGUCUUUGAGCCGCAAUGGAGGUUCUUUUAUUUGAGCAGGGCGUUGGCGCCAAGGAUAUUGCUGUGUUGGGGUUGGAUUAGAGGAUUCUAAUGUGGACAGUCGUGAGUUGUUGGUAGCGAAUGGAUUUGUGAGCUCUGGAUUGGCAUGUCAGUGAGUUCUUCCCCCAGACGGUUGAUUGAGUUGUGUAGAUCACCGGACGGUGUGUUUUAAGUUUCCUCCGUGAAUGCUGUAUCCUGAGGCGUCAUGUUUCAUCUAGAGCGGCUGUCGGGUAGAGUAUUCUCUGGUGACUGUGGAGCUGGUGGGCUAAGUUGUAAAGGGGAGUUGAAGUUAGUUGCAGGACUUUUACUGGUUUUGAGCCGGGGUGUCAAUGAGUGCGAUUGUGAGAUCUCUCUAACAGUCAUACUGCGUCCGACAUUGAGUAGCUUGCGAUUGGCGCGUUCGACUAUCCCAUUUUGUUCUGGGGUAGCCGCGUUGGUGAGUUCUUCUCUUAUGCCUGUGGAUGCACAAAGAUCAGCAAAUUGGUGGAAAAGAAAUUCUCCUCCCUGGUUGCUCCAAAUACAUUUGAUCUUGCGGUUGUAUUGGACCUCGACCAUGUUCUUGAAUAAGUAAAAUCGUUCGAAGGCUUGAGACUUUAGGCAUAAGAAGAAAGUCCAGAUAUAGCAGCUAAAAUCAUCUACAGUAACGAACAUAUCGUUGGAUCCGCCUGAGAGGUCACGGGGAAGGGGCCGCAAAGGUCGAGGUGUAGAAGAUCCAGUGCGUUGGGUACUGGUGACGUGCUGAUUUUUGGUAGGCUUGCUUGUGUUUGUUUUCCCUUGAUACAUGCUUCGCAAGUUUUUGAAUGAACCGGGAUAUAGGAGAGUCCGAUAACCAUGUUGUUUGAUGCGAGCUCGUGAAGGCGAGCGAAACUAAGGUGCCCGAGGUGGUGAUGCCACAGUCUGAUUGUGUGUAGGUCGAUGCUGGUUAUAUUCAUCGCGAGAUCUGGUGGACGGGAUGAGAGUUGAUAUAAACUAUUUUCGUUGCUGUGAAAUCCUUCUGCUACGAUCUUCUUGUGAUCUUUGUUGUACAGAAUGCACUUUUGAUUGCCGAAGCAUGCUAUGAUGCGAUCUGUAAAGGACCCGAUUGAUAAAAGAUUCUUCGAUAGACUUGGUACGUAGAGAACCCCGGGAAUUUAACCUGGUGGGAGUUUAAAGUGAACACUGUCCCUACUGGUAAUUGGAUGAUUUUGACCAGCGGCGGUUUUAACAGUUUCGUUGAAGUUUUCUAUGCUAUCAAAGCUCUGUAGGUCGCCGGUCACAUACUGAGUGGCUCCGCUGUCGGGAUACUAGUUGAAGUCAAAAUGAUAAGUGUUCAGCGACGGGAUGGCUACUUCGAAGACCUCUUUAUUUAACUCGUUAGCGAUGAAUGGGGUGUUGAUUGAGAGAUCUUGUGGAUUUGGCCACUCGAGUUCUUCUUGAGCGAAAUUUAUUGAGGGAGGUCUGAUGCCGAGUUUGAUCAUUCCUUCAGAUUUAAGUUUUCGGAUGUCUACCAGGCAUUUAGGGCACAUGUGCUUAAGUUGUCGGAGCUUUCCGCAGUAGUGACAUUGUCUAAGCUGGAUUUGGGACAUGUUGUUUUCAUGUCCCUAUGUGGUGUAGUGAGUGGUGCUAAAUUUGGAAGGAACAACGUUGGAUCCCUUCAUGUCUCGAUUGUAAUGUGUAUAGUUUCGGUUUCCAUGGAAGUAGAGUGCCUCGGUGGUCGCUGGUUUGAGCCUCGAUCUGGUUUGACGUCGGCUUUCUUCAAGCAUUAAUUGAAACUGUAACUGAUCCAGAGUGGGGUAUCCUCCAUUGCUGGUGUAGUAAUUUAGAAAGUAGUCGAAUGAGUCGGGUAAUUCUUCACCACUACUUGUACCAGAUCUGGAUCGUUAAUGCGAACACCAAUGGUCGAAAGUUCUGCAAGGAUCUGGUGGAACUAAGAGAAAUAGUUCUCAACACCUAGUUCUUCCGAGAGCAUGAUCAGAUCGAGGCAAUUUUUGAGAUCGAACUUCCUGUUGUCGUUUGCGUUUUUGAAGGAUCUUUGCAGAGAAUCCCAUAGGGCCUUCGGUUCCUGGAAGUUAGUGAGAACAAGAAGGUUUGGUCGGAUAGAUAUGGUUAAGUUGUACAUAAGCCGUUCUUGCUUAUCCUUACUUGAUUCGUCUCGAUCAGUUUCUGGUUUUGUGGAGGUACUAGUGGUUGGUGACAGAAUAUCUCAGAGCUUGUCUUGCUUAGCGAUUCUGGUGAUCAUAUAUUUCCAGAGAUGGAAAUUCAAUGCUAGCUUGACUUCAUCAAAAAUAGUGCUAUCUUUUGACAUGGUGAAAGGGGACAGUAGGACUAGUAAACAAAAAACAAUGCUGUUACAAAAAUUGGAUGAACAACAUUCUCUUGUGAAGGAGAAUGUGCCGGAAGCCAAGGCGAGAGCACUUCCAAUGUCUCAGUUACGAGUUGGAUAAGUCACAACUUUUUGUACAUAGAAUUGGAACAUUCAACACUCUAUUUAAGGGGGACUUAAUUCUUUAUUGAAACAAGAUCUAACAUAUAUUUAAAAGUUAAAAACUUAUCUCUAGGAAAAGGUUUUUUUGAAGAUGUUUGUUGCCAUUUUCUCCAUAGAACAAUAUUUCAAAUCAAUUUGUCUUUUUUCUACACAUUGUUCAAUAAAAUGAUGUCCUAUUUCUCAA
Non-coding RNA from Physcomitrium patens, 4326 nucleotides. The record is from RefSeq and is a predicted model, not a curated record. NCBI's taxonomy places the organism in Eukaryota, Viridiplantae, Streptophyta, Bryopsida, Funariales, Funariaceae.